AGAAAGGAGGUCUAGACUGUGAGCUGAAUGUUUGAACAUUUGUAUGUACUUGUUAGUUAGUGUGCAGGAGACAUUUGAGGGACUUUGACCUUGUUUUGACACUGAUGCUCAGAACAGGAUGUCUCAAGACCAAUUUGAUCCAGGUGAGCUGCGAGUGGUAGUGCUGGGAGGAUACCAGUCAGGCAAGACAUCCUUGAUCAACACUGUGCUCAACCAGGGACCUGGAGGAAAAGGGCAACAUGCUCGCUGUUUGAAAAGAGAGGGCGACGUCAGUGGCUGGAGGCUCACCUUGAUUGACACGCGUUGUUGGUGGACGGGCUUUUUGCUGACAGACACAGCGGAGUUGGUCAAGCAAGACCUAGUGUUGACUGUGCGUCUGUGUCCACCCGGACCACAUGCCUUCCUUUUGACAAUCGAGAUCGAUGCUCCAUUCACUGAGAGAAACAAGAAAGUUAUAGAGGAGCACUUGGCACUCUUUGGGGACAAUAUCUGGAGGCACACCAUAGUAGUGUUCACCAGAGGAGACUAUCUUAAGGGUAAAAGCAUAGAACAGCACAUUGAAAGUGAAGGAGAGGCUCUGAAGUGGGUUAUAGGGAGAUGUGAGAACAAGUAUCACGUUGUUGACAACCAAAGCAAAGAUCCUGACCAGGUAAUUGGGCUGCUAAAUAAGUUAGUGACUGUGAAUGUGGCAAACGGUGGCAGUUAUUUCCAGAUUGACAGGGAGACUUUGAAAGAGGUUGAAGAGAAAAAGGCUGCAGUGAAAGUGAGAGCAAAGGCCAGGCAGGACCAUAUUACUGAGCAAAGACAAUUGCUGAAGCAACAAGCUGAAGUGAAGCCUUUAACAGAAAUGAGAAUUAUAUUGCUUGGUUGGGUGAGUUCAGGGAAAACCUCUGUAAGAAAAAUGAUCCUGGACGGAGGGGAAUUAGUCACCCGAAACAUAACUGUUCAGUCUAACAAAACAUCGGGAGAGGUGGAAGGGCGGCGAGUCACAGUGAUUGACACCCCAGGAUGGUGGAAGUAUUUCCCAGCCAAGAACACCCCUAAAAGUGUUAGAACAGAACUGAAGAAGAGCUUGACAUGCCUUCCUCCUGGCAGUUCCUGCACAUGUGUCGUUCCUGGAGGAUCAGAGGAAGAUCAUUCAAGAUAACAUGAAGAUGUUUGGAGAGCAGGUCUGGAGACACACACUCAUACUCUUUACUUGGGGCGAUCAGUUGGGCAGUGCAAGCAUCGAGGAGCACAUCGAGAGUGAGGGAGAACCCCUGAGGUGGCUCGUGGAGAAAUGUGGGAACAGGUACCACGUCUUUGACAACGUGAAUAAAGGAGAUGGCUCUCAGGUUAGACAGCUGCUAGAAAAAGUAGAAGAGAUGGUGGCAGGCAAUAGUCUGUACAGCCUGUCUACAGAGGCAUGGGCAACCAAGUCUAAGGAAACAGAUGAAGAACCAGAUGGAGCAAAGAUGGAGGUUAUGAAUCCACUGGAUCAUGAAUGGAAAAGGCUGGAUAGAGAGCUGGAGGAGAAGAUUAACGAUAUGUGGAAGAAAAUGUUUGAUCCAGAGCUGAAAGGAAACCGAAGUGGAGAAGGUUAUCGUCCUGACUUUCAUGAAAGUGAGCCACUGCAGGAGGAGAGGGAAAUCAGUGUGCACACCUCUGAAUUAAAUGUGCCAUCGAAAGGUUGUCUUUGCACUUUCUUCUAUUCUUAAUUUUCUCCAAAAGUUCAUAAAUUGGUUUUUGGUUCAUAACAGUAUAAUCUAAUGAAUAUUCAUAUGAAUGUGACUGUACUGUAUGUGUUCUAUGUUAAUAACAUCAGAAGGUGGUAAUGAGAGACAGGCUGACAAACCUGCACCCAGUUCAACUGAUGAAAUGACUGAUCUGUUAGCGCGUGAGUGGGGGAGACGAGAGGCACUGAUUAUGGAAAGAGUUCGUGGAUUUAUGUUGCAACUCCAAGGACUGUACGGUCCUUCAUCAGAUGUUGAUAAGAGAGAAUGGGAAGAAUCCUGUCAAAAGGUUCAGAGAUGGUUUGAUGCGACGUCUGGAUAUGAAUCAGAGUGAAUUCCUUCACUCCGCUGUGAAAGGUCUUCUAUAUUGAUUUCAUGAUAUGACCUGCAGUAGGACAUCAGUUUAUUAUCAUUUAACAUAUGUAAGAAAUCUAGAAAUAAAAAUGGUAACAUAAAGAAACUGACUGUGAUGCACGUCAACUGAUUGGAUAUCUGACCUACUGGUUAGCAAAUCAGACUUGUAACCGAAGGGUGGUUUGAUCCCUGACUGGGGAGUGAUUGAAUGGCAUUCUCCAACAUCCACAUCCAUGGAUGAGGUGACCCUUGAUCAAGUCAUCUGAACUCAAGCUGCUCCAUGAGCACUGGAUCAAGGGCUGCCCAUUGCUCUAGGUGUGUACAGCAUACACUAUGCGCUCCCUGGGAGAAAUUAAAGGGAUAAUCCGGAGUGAAAUGCACUUUGGAUAAA
RNA transcript from Sardina pilchardus (European sardine), 2457 nucleotides. It is a transcript of the gene named GTPase IMAP family member 7-like, with no coding region annotated. The transcript has 5 exons. The record is from RefSeq and is a predicted model, not a curated record. Lineage: Eukaryota; Metazoa; Chordata; Actinopteri; Clupeiformes; Clupeidae.